AUAUUACACUACUGACAAUGACCUGACCAUAGGUUUAUGUACAGGCAUAAAAACUUUUAUGCUUGAACACACAUUUGACAGAAAUCUGCAAAAAGAAAUGUUAAGCCUGAGGGAUUAACAAGAAGCGCAGGGCCUUUCGAUUAAUAAUAAAUACAGAAAGGAGGGAAACGCAAAAGUGCGUAAGGAUAAGGUUUCCCCAAAUCCACAUCCCGUGCGUGUGUGGAUAGGAGUCAAUUUCUUUCCUUCCUGUGCCUGCGUGGAAUGGAUUGGAAUCAAUUGAUUCCUUCCUGUACGUGUGUUCUGGCCAUGGUUACCGAUGAUGCCGCGUGCAGUGCGUUCCGCCUUGCGCCCCGUGGGCUGCCUCCGCCCGGGUUGCCGCGUGCCGGUCGAUGAUCACCGCCGCGUUGCCGCGACACAUCGCGUUUGCUCCCGUCCUGUGCCGGCCGGGGGCCAUCUCCAUCGCGCUGCAGGGAGUGGGCCGUGCUACAGCGCGCGCUCCGGCCGAUUGCCACCUGUGCCAUCGGCUUGGGAGCCGCGUCCGAGGGAGGGCUGCGCGCCGCGCCGUGGUCGUGCUCCGCCUGAGGGAGGAGCGCCGCAUCGGAUGCUGCUUCGGAGAGGUGGAGGACGCCGUCCUCGCCAAACGUCGAGAAGCAUGUCUAUUGAUUCCUGCCAUGGAAGGGUUGCGGUUGAUCGAAUCGGCAGCGACUGAAAUUCUCCUAUGCUGAAGCCGUGCGCGCUGGAUGGAGUCGACAUCGCGAGUACAGGGGCAGACGUUGGCGCCGCCGUGACUAAUGUCGCCAUCCGCGCCAAGACUCAAUGCUGCAGUCCGCCGCGCGAGAUAAGGCCGGCAGCGCUGGGAAUCGCGCGAGGCGUCGAGGAGGUCUGGCCUAAUCGCUCUGUUAGGGCAAGGUGCUGACAACGUGUAAAGAUGAAAAGAGAGAGCAGAGACGAAAAUCCAAAUCUGAGCCCGAGCUCAUCUGUACCUGCGCUCACUAAAAAAAUCAAAAUAAAUACUAAAAAAAUUAAAAAAAAUCCGAAAAAAAUUGGGGUGGUGGACAAUUUGAUGAGUGAGGUGCGCCCUAAUUUUCAAAACAUUUGGACUUAUGUGCAGCUCUCAGCAAAAAAGACAAAUCGGAGGUCUGUAAAAAUGUGUACUGUUCAUAUACUGUUUUGGUCUGAUUUGUCUUUUUGGCUGAGAGCUGCACAUAAGUCCAAAUGUUUUGAAAAUUGA
Molecule: ribosomal RNA, 1231 nt
Filed under: Triticum aestivum (bread wheat)
Lineage: Eukaryota; Viridiplantae; Streptophyta; Magnoliopsida; Poales; Poaceae
Description: partial small subunit ribosomal RNA
Source: RNAcentral